UUCACUAAUUCAAGACUUGGAAAAAAAGGAAUUCCCUCCAAAAUAUUUAGCUCUAAAAUUUUUGUGCCUAAAUUAUAGCCUUCUUCUUCUAUUAGAUUGACUAGUAAGAUUAGAGAGUCAGAAACCCUAAAAGCUUAAAACUCUCAAAAUCAAUCAUUUACAGAGGAGCAAGAUUUCUCAUUACUCACGUGAAUCAACCUAAAAUCCCCGGAAGAAAGAUUCGAGGUCCUAUAGCAGAUUCAUAUAGCUCAACGACUAAAUUACUCUUAUUAUGUUUUUGGACUCCACACGAGGGGGUAAUUGAAGACUAAGAGAAAAAGAUUUU
Long non-coding RNA from Lycium barbarum (goji berry), 325 nucleotides. RefSeq lists it as uncharacterized. The transcript has 3 exons. The record is from RefSeq and is a predicted model, not a curated record. Lineage: Eukaryota; Viridiplantae; Streptophyta; Magnoliopsida; Solanales; Solanaceae.